UAGAUGGAAGCUCGUUGGUUUUGGGCGCUUAGCUGUUAACUAAGAGUUUGCAGGAUCGAGGCCUGUCUAUCUAG
Molecule: transfer RNA, 74 nt
Filed under: Takifugu rubripes (torafugu)
Lineage: Eukaryota; Metazoa; Chordata; Actinopteri; Tetraodontiformes; Tetraodontidae
Also listed under: 22 other names
Source: Rfam by way of RNAcentral